Molecule: ribosomal RNA, 438 nt
Filed under: Doryctobracon crawfordi
Lineage: Eukaryota; Metazoa; Arthropoda; Insecta; Hymenoptera; Braconidae
Description: eukaryotic LSU rRNA
Source: RNAcentral
CCUGAGAAACCCAAAAGAUCGAAUGGGGAGAUUCAUCGUCAGCUCAUUUUGUAUAUAUAUUAGUUAUGAUAUGAGUUACUACUUGUAGUAUUGCUUGUACAUUCUUUUAUAUUUCAUUGCAAGAUGUUGUCGGCGUGCACUUCUCCCCUAGUAGGACAUCGCGACCCGUUGAGUGUCGGUCUAUGGCCUAAGUGGUAGACUUUAAUUUUUUUUUAAAUUAAAGACCCUUAGUGUUUUCUGACCGACUAACUCGGCGGUAAACGUAUGGUAUUAAGCCGCAUUUUUUAUGCGUUCAUAUCCGUUGCAAGCACGAUCAAUAUUUAGUAGUACGGACCUAGUGCCGUCGCUAUUAUUCGAUCAGCUGUUGGUUAUACGGUGUUCUAGAACUGGCUUUCAAAAAUUUAAUACCGGUCAGCGAUGCUAUUGCUUUGGUACUUU